CCCGCUGAACUUAAGCAUAUCAAUAAGCGGAGGAAAAGAAACUAACAAGGAUUCCCCUAGUAACUGCGAGUGAAGCGGGAAAAGCUCAAAUUUAAAAUCUGGUGGUCUUUGGCCAUCCGAGUUGUAAUUUAGAGAAGCGUCUUCCGCGCUGGACCGUGCACAAGUCUCCUGGAACGGAGCGUCGUAGAGGGUGAGAAUCCCGUCUUUGGCAUGGACACACCAGGGCUUUUGCGAUGCGCUCUCGAAGAGUCGAGUUGUUUGGGAAUGCAGCUCAAAAUGGGUGGUGAACUCCAUCUAAAGCUAAAUAUUGGCGAGAGACCGAUAGCGAACAAGUACCGUGAGGGAAAGAUGAAAAGCACUUUGGAAAGAGAGUGAAACAGUACGUGAAAUUGUUGAAAGGGAAACGCUUGAAGUCAGUCGCGUCGCCCGAGACUCAGCCUCGCCUCGGCUUGGUGUACUUCUCGGCCGACGGGUCAGCAUCAAUUUUGCCCCUUGGAUAAUGGCGAGGGAAAUGUGACACCUUUACGGGUGUGUUAUAGUCUCUCGUCGCAUGCAAGGGUCGGGAUUGAGGAACUCAGCACGCGCCUUUGGGCGUCGGGGUUCGCCCACGAUACGUGCUUAGGAUGUUGGCGUAAUGGCUUUAAACGACCCGUCUUGAAACACGG
This 665-nucleotide ribosomal RNA is filed under the name uncultured fungus. RNAcentral's name for it is "eukaryotic LSU rRNA". It matches the Rfam family "Eukaryotic large subunit ribosomal RNA", at positions 24 to 664 of the family's 3401-position model. The record is from RNAcentral. Lineage: Eukaryota; Fungi.